CGCGCUCAUCGUGCCGGUCCGCGAACAUUGAGUGUAAAUACAUAUUAAUUAGUGUCUUACCUCGUUAAUUGUCGUAUAAAAUUAUAAAUCCGAUCGUGUCGCAUCUAUUCGACAGAUUAAUCGCGAUCGCGCGCGCGAAAUUAUUGCCGCUCGUCGACCGCAAAAUUCGCGGUGUGAAUCUCGCUCAGAGUUCAGUCUCCCGAAAGCACACGCGACCGCGUGACGUCACAGCGACGACUCGAGCCCGCCGAAAGUUAUUUGGCGCGCAAAUUUCCGAGAGGACGGGUCGCGAGAAUUACCGCGCGUUUUCUACGCGAAAAUGUCCGGAUUCUUUGAUGUUUUCGAGUGUAUUCUAAGUAGACAAUUGCGCGUUUUCGGUCGUGCUUUCGCAUCGUCGUGUCGAAGUGUCGUUGAAAUAUAGUGAAGCGUGUAUAAUAGUGGCCAUUAUUUGGGAAUAUCGGCGACUUCUGAGUGCGUCGCGGAGGAAGACGCCAUAUCGCGUUGUUCGAUAAAUGGCCUUACUGAAAAAAUAAGAUUUUGUUCGCACGCGAAUAAUUAGUUUCUCGCGUUUUACUACCGAAACACGUCGACGAUUGUGAUAUAUAAUUAAAAUUCGGGCGUUGCAAACGAAAAAGGUAACGCGAGUGCAAGUGUUUCGCGAAGUGCAUCUUUCUACGAGGAUAUGAGGCCCGGAGAGGCAUCGAGCAACGACAGAGCACCUAUUAUGUUUACAACCCCGCUGUUAUACAUCAUAUCGCGAGACAACGUAGUUUGAACAUCAACCACUUUGCUGUUGUGCAUCGGUAUGCGUGAGUGAGA
Nylanderia fulva is the source of this 819-nucleotide non-coding RNA. NCBI's taxonomy places the organism in Eukaryota, Metazoa, Arthropoda, Insecta, Hymenoptera, Formicidae. The record is from RefSeq and is a predicted model, not a curated record.